GAUGAACGCUGACAGAAUGCUUAACACAUGCAAGUCAACUUGAACUUCGGUUUGGGUGGCGGACGGGUGAGUAACGCGUAAAGAACUUGCCUCACAGUUAGGGACAACAUUUGGAAACGAAUGCUAAUACCUGAUAUUAUGAUUUUAGGGCAUCCUAGAAUUAUGAAAGCUAUAUGCGCUGUGAGAGAGCUUUGCGUCCCAUUAGCUAGUUGGAGAGGUAACGGCUCACCAAGGCGAUGAUGGGUAGCCGGCCUGAGAGGGUGAACGGCCACAAGGGGACUGAGACACGGCCCUUACUCCUACGGGAGGCAGCAGUGGGGAAUAUUGGACAAUGGACCAAGAGUCUGAUCCAGCAAUUCUGUGUGCACGAUGAAGUUUUUCGGAAUGUAAAGUGCUUUCAGUUGGGAAGAAAAAAAUGACGAUACCAACAGAAGAAGUGACGGCUAAAUACGUGC
Molecule: ribosomal RNA, 455 nt
Filed under: uncultured bacterium
Lineage: Bacteria
Description: partial 16S ribosomal RNA
Rfam family: Bacterial small subunit ribosomal RNA
Source: RNAcentral